Molecule: long non-coding RNA, 1478 nt
Organism: Felis catus (domestic cat)
Lineage: Eukaryota; Metazoa; Chordata; Mammalia; Carnivora; Felidae
Exons: 2
Source: RefSeq, a predicted model, not a curated record
UCUCAUUUUUCCUCUCUGGGCUACAUUCAGUCUCCUUUAGUCACUCACAAAUCCGCUAGUACUUGUCUCAGGAAAACUAACAAGAUUCUUCACAAACAUGAAUUCAAGAGAAAUGUCUGAUUUGACAAGUUACUAAAAGCAGAGUCACGUGUUUCUACCUUUAGCUUCACCCUGAUCUUUCAGAAAUACAGUGAGUAAUAUUAUAGCGACAAUGAUUCUUCAAAAGUCCACACCAGACAGCAAAACGCAAGCAAGAAAAAGCCUGAGCAACACUCACACAACUUUUUGAAAAACGAUCCGCUAGAAGAUGCGCUGUGAGUCUGUCUCCACUGCCCCCACUUAGUAUUUACAUCCACUCGUGCAUUCCUUCACCGGGCUCUACUUCACAGGCAGGCACGCAUGCACUUACUCAGGUGUUAACGCACCAGUUCUAGUUCAAAGGCCCUGGCUCAUUCCUUCAAUUACUUAAAGGAGUACCACCGAGCCGCCCGCCGGUAACAAGCCUCACAGGCCCUGCCCUCCGGGAACCUGGAGUCUGAGUGGAGCCUAGACGUGCACACCAAAAGCGAAAGCACAAGCGGUCGCCGUGACUGGAACCUUCCUAAGAGGGCAGAUGGGUCCAGCCCUCCGUAACAGGACCAACUUUAUUCUCUCGGGUUUCAGUGGCUGCCUCAAGGAGCUGAAGCAUUUUAACCCUGAGCCCAUGUUCUCCACCAGGCUUCAGUGCCAACUGAUGGAAAAGUAUGGGAACUCGUUUUGUGUGAGCCACAACACCGGCACAUCGAGAACUAAAACCUUAGGGACUGGUUUGCCAGUGGGUUGGCUUGUAGGCAUCGAGUGACCACCCUGAGCCAAGAGCGUGCUGGAAUUUCUCUGGUAGAAUGGUCAGAGCUGAACUCUGCAAUCUGAGGCCAUCCUGCAUCCUACUGGCUUCCAAGGCCAUCAUCACCCUUCCAGGCAGUAAUUCCCAAAGCUUGUGAAGCGUGUCAGGAGGCCCACAUUCCUCAGCUCUACAAUCAACCCAACUGACCCCUAUCAGACUCUCGGCGGCUUUGAGGCAAGGACGGUGCCACACUCAUCUUUAAUCCACCUCGGCUCCCUGUAAUCACAGCUCCUGGCAUACACUAGGUGCUCAGCAAACGUUGCUUAGGCUGUUUGUGCUCACACCGAAGAACAGUUUUCAGUCCUGCUUAUGUUAAACUCUGUCCUGUGAACAUCGUCUGGAGGACCCUCUCAUUCUUUCUCUCAAAUCCUGUCUAUGAAAAAGGUUCUGACUUCCCCGUCCCUGUACAGCAUCUAGCUAGAAGCUGCUAGAGGAUUUUAUAGGGUAUGAACAGUUAAGCCCUAAACUCUUACUGCCAUUUCUCACUGUUUCAUGUACACUUUCUCUUGCGCCUCAGCUGGGUCCAACUUGCUGAAGGCAGGUCUUCAAUGACCCAGCAUGCUCCCUGCCUCUCUCAAAGUACAUGGGCACUCAA